UUUUUGCAAGUCCCUUCUUAAAAGCUUUACCCUUGAUUUGAGGAUUGAAUGGCACUUUAUCCCUAGAUUGCAGCUUUGUUCCCAAUGUUGGCACAGUAGAUCCCUGAUUCCCUGUGUUUCCAUAAAAGAUAUCAGGAGCCACCUCUCCAAUCAACCCGUGAUUACCGCUUAGAAUGUUGAAUCUCGAACCUUCGAUCCCGACAACAGAGUUACUGUUAGGUUCUGUUGCCGUCGUUAAUGGUUUCCGCCAUGGCUUGCGUUCCACUAACAUCCAUGGCCCAAACUGAUCCCCUUCCUCAACAUCAGGCGCUAAACUAUUCUUCCCAGAGCAAUCAAACGUUUCCCCUCCUUGGUUCAAUACACCCUUGUCAAGAUUCCCAGUCGCAGCUCCUACAGAUGAAACAUCUCUUACAAAAUUAUGACAGAAAGGAUCUCUAGAGUGUCUGAAUCUCCCACACUUAAAACAAACCUAGGACAUGGAUUCAUAUUCCACACGUUGUAUCCUCCCAUCAAUCUGUAGCUUUGAAAUCAAUAGUUUCCCUAGAUCAAUGUAAACCGCAAUCCUCGCAAAUUGCCCCCUAGAUUUGGAAGUCUUGUUACGAUCUAUUUUCACAACGGGACCAAUCGCGCCUCCAAUGAACUUGAGUAGACUUCUCGUGUACAUUCCUUCCAGCAAUGCAGGCAAUCUGAUCCAGACCAUCAUAUUCUUAGGAAACUCUUGAUCUGUUGAGAACUCAGGAGUCCAUAGCCGUACAGAGAGAUACUGCCCAAAAAUUGUCCAAGCCCCCCAGACAUCACCAAAAGUUUGACAACCACUGUUCGAGUCAUUUGUUUGGCAAUAAAAUGAUGCACUCGGUCAGAGAAAGUGAUGGAAGGGAUGCCAUCAACAAUCUCCUUUGUCGCGCCUCCCUCAAGUAAUUUGAUAUCAUCUUCAUUCUAUAGAUUACUCUUCUCAUUUGUGGGUACCCAGAAACUUGUCUUUCCAAGACUCGGAUUGAGCCGUAGGAAUAUCCACACUCAUGCCUUUAUCAUUGACCACAAGAUCAUCCGGAUCCGGUGGUUCAUCCGGCCUUCGGCUAACCUUUUUUGUCGAUCUUCCAGCACUAUCGCCUGUCGAAGCCAUUUACUUUUUGCUUGAUAAAGAUGAUUAAUGGGUUCAAACAUAUUUAUUCUAUUUUUUUAUUAAUAAAAAUAUAUUAAAUCACUUCAUAAUAUUA
Molecule: long non-coding RNA, 1217 nt
Organism: Gossypium raimondii (Peruvian cotton)
Lineage: Eukaryota; Viridiplantae; Streptophyta; Magnoliopsida; Malvales; Malvaceae
Exons: 2
Source: RefSeq, a predicted model, not a curated record